AUCGAUAUAGCUCAAUUGAUAGAGCGUACAGCUGAUGACUGUAAGGGUAAAGGUUAGAAUCCUUUUAUUGAUU
This 73-nucleotide transfer RNA is filed under the name Faecalicoccus pleomorphus. RNAcentral describes it as "tRNA-Ile". It matches the Rfam family "tRNA". From Rfam's summary of the family: Transfer RNA (tRNA) molecules are approximately 80 nucleotides in length. Their secondary structure includes four short double-helical elements and three loops (D, anti-codon, and T loops). The record is from RNAcentral. Lineage: Bacteria; Bacillati; Bacillota; Erysipelotrichia; Erysipelotrichales; Erysipelotrichaceae.